ACGCUCGACACCUACGGGAGGCAGCGGUGGGGAAUAUUGCACAAUGGGGGAAACCCUGAUGCAGCGACGCCGCGUGGAGGAAGAAGGUCUUCGGAUUGUAAACUCCUGUUGUUGGGGAAAAAGAGGAUGGUACCCAACAAGGAAGUGACGGCUAACUACGUGCCACAGCCGCGGUAAUCUGAGCGGGCUGGCAAGGC
This 197-nucleotide ribosomal RNA is filed under the name uncultured bacterium. Its description in RNAcentral is "partial 16S ribosomal RNA". It matches the Rfam family "Bacterial small subunit ribosomal RNA", at positions 328 to 539 of the family's 1533-position model. The record is from RNAcentral.